AUUGAACGCUGGCGGCAGGCCUAACACAUGCAAGUCGAGCGGAUGAAGGGAGCUUGCUCCUGGAUUCAGCGGCGGACGGGUGAGUAAUGCCUAGGAAUCUGCCUGGUAGUGGGGGAUAACGUCCGGAAACGGGCGCUAAUACCGCAUACGUCCUGAGGGAGAAAGUGGGGGAUCUUCGGACCUCACGCUAUCUGAUGAGCCUAGGUCGGAUUAGCUAGUUGGUGGGGUAAAGGCCUACCAAGGCGACGAUCCGUAACUGGUCUGAGAGGAUGAUCAGUCACACUGGAACUGAGACACGGUCCAGACUCCUACGGGAGGCAGCAGUGGGGAAUAUUGGACAAUGGGCGAAAGCCUGAUCCAGCCAUGCCGCGUGUGUGAAGAAGGUCUACGGAUUGUAAAGCACUUUAAGUUGGGAGGAAGGGCAGUAAGUUAAUACCUUGCUGUUUUGACGUUACCAACAGAAUAAGCACCGGCUAACUUCGUG
This 484-nucleotide ribosomal RNA is filed under the name uncultured bacterium. Its description in RNAcentral is "partial 16S ribosomal RNA". It matches the Rfam family "Bacterial small subunit ribosomal RNA", at positions 30 to 507 of the family's 1533-position model. The record is from RNAcentral.